UUCAUUGCAGCACUAAUUCAAAUAAACUGCUAUCCAAGCGAACUCAUCUUGAGUUAGCUUGUCAAGUGUGAGCGUCAACACAAUAAGACUCUGGAGCUGCACAGAGUUACACUGCAGAGUAGCUAAGAUUGUACCCUCAUGUUACAAACACGUGAUGACAAAUCUGCCUUAAAAUAUUCUUCUCUCUCUCCCUGCUGCAGCUGAUACAACUGUUUGUGUGAUGGGACUCUAAAUUGUGUCUGAGAGAACCUGCACUGGUGACAAUGGCUUCACCUUCUACAGGAGAGGAAGGGAUGACUGUCUGGGUAUAGGAACCUCUUCAGCUGGAUCUUCUGGCGAUGGAGUAGUACCAUGGAACCACUGCCUGGUGGGCCAGUGAGGACAAGCCUGGGAGCUCAUAGAUAAUUGCAAAAUGAGCUUCUGUACUCUGUGCUAUCAGUCUGCCCCUGCCCUGGUGGGAAGACCAUUACCAGCACAUCUGUAUCUUUGCUUCUUACUGCCCCCUCUGGGGUGUACUCCCUCUCUUCCCCUGUCUUGUGUGAAAUCCCAGGAUCAACCAUCUUGUGUUCCUCAGUUCAACAAUUUUUAACAACCAUGGCUCUUCAGAAGCUCCAGACUUGCAGAUUUCAUACAGUAUCAGUGAAGACACCCAACAUUGUUACCUAUAGAGCAACAGAAGGUAAAAGAGAUCACAGCCAAAUAUUUAUUUGCAUUAUUAGACAGGGAUGCUAAAUCUGUCAGGAACAGAAUGUAUAACAGUGCUUACAGGUAUUUCUGUUGUUGGUUUGAAAAGCCGCCAAAUGGUAUACUCAGCUCUUAUACUUUCAUUCCAAAAAUAAUUAGGAAUUUUUUUUAUAUUAAAAACUGCUACUUAAAUAUUUUUCAGCCUGUAGAAUGAGUAAAUUACAACCAAGAGUUUAAAAAAACCCCCAUGGAUUGACAAGCUCUCUAGGCCUCUGAUGUUAGUAUAUAACAUUAGAUAAUAUCAAUAAACAUCAAACUCUUUCACAAGCUUGCUUUUAAAAGCUGGAGUUCCUAACUUUGGGGACAAAAUAUUGCUCUUUUGAAUGCCAAAACAUAGUUCUUCCUGUCUUCUCUGUCGUGAAUGAGGAAUGAAUGGACACAUCUUCCCUGUGGAAGUUGUCACAGAAGUAGGGUCUGUGGUUAGGGUUGCGAUUUUGGAACUUAUUUUACUUUCUAAUAUGUUUACUGUAUUCCAACCCUGCUCAUUAAUUAGAGAUGCUUGGAGUAAAUGUGACUCGCCAGCUGUAUGGUCUUGCCUGAAGAGAUGGGAUUUCAGAAUUUUUCUGUGGUUGAUUUCCAGUUACUACUAAGGGAUGACAUGAAAAAGAUUUCCUGGAAACUGUGAUCAUCUGAAGGGAGGGAAGGUAGACUUGGAUCUUAGUAUAGUGGCUAAUGUUCCCUCUGGCGCAGACAUGAAACCAUCUACGAGGAACUACCUCCUGCACCAGCUAAGACACAAAUGCUAGUAUAGCAUGAACAGACCACUUGUAAAAUGACAUUCAAAGCAGCAUAUGAUAUCAGCAUUUUGUGAUUUACACUAGCUGGCUAUUGGUUUUUGGCUGAAGUUACCACUUUUCCUCAACCGCGGUGUACAAAGGAAUUGAAUCAGUCACCCUCUAUUCAAGGGAAAGUGAAGUUCAUUGUCCUUCAGAGGACCUCAGGUUUGAAACCUUCUGGGUUAAAAAGUCUUCCCAAUCUAGGCAGUAGCACAGGACCUGUAACAGUACCUGGUUCUCCAUAGAGGUAGUAGUGGCAUAAGAGCUGAUGUCUUAAGACAAAAAGGGAAAUUGCAGUCAGUGUCAUUAGUGGCUGUCUUCACUGGGAGCAGAAAGUAAGAGUAGUUAAAGAUGUUAAACUUAAACUAUAUUCCUGUACAUUUAACUUUUAACUAACUGGAGCCUAAGGUGGCAUGUUCUUGCAUGUAUGUAUUUGCUAUGGAUGGAAAAACUGCUGACACUUGGGUCUCCUUGAAAUCGAUAACAUGGCUCCCAUUGUCUUCAGGGGGAACAGAGGCCAAAGCUGCAAAUCCUAUCAGAUAAUUAUAAAUGAAACAAAGAGUUGCAGUAUGCAGUAAAACCCUGCAUGGCUGUGAUUCAGGAAAGCACUCAGUGUUCUUUGUUGGGGAAGUAAAUCAUGUAGAAACAGGAAGAUAUUUUCAAUGCUUUAAAUGCUCCUCAGGAAAACUAAACACAAUUUUGACUGUGCAGGUUUAUGUACUCCAUACCUUCAUGGAAUUUUUCCACCUUUGAGUUUUUUUGGUUUUUUAAUCACAAAAAGCUUGUUUCUUCUUUUAAUGUGUUCCAGUGUGCAUUCAGCUGAUCACUGAAACCCCAAGAAGGCAACAGCUGUUGUGAAUCUAUAAUCAGAUUGCCCAGCUAAUUAGUGGUUUUAAAUGGACUUGGGUUUUUUUUCCCCUCUUCUUCUUGUGAUUUCAGUGUCAGUGACACUGUUAAUAAAUUCUUAAUGAGGAAUAAUGUUAUAUAAAUGUUGGGGAAACUAGGUCUUCUUUUAUAUUCAAAGCAUAGCAUACAAUUAAAAUGUACCAUAGAUAGAAUCAUAGCUUCAUUUAACUCAUCUUAACCUACCCACUCUGAGCUGAAAUGAGUAUAUCCUGCUUUUCAUUUGAUGUGUCCUGUUGUGUUAAAUGUACCAUACUGAUCUAAAAGUGGCAAAUUCUGUGGGUGCCCAGAGUUGUUAUCAGAGCCAGACGCUGCAUGCUUGCAAGACAUGCCUCCACACAGCUCCUCUAGUUAGAAGAAAAAGAAAUUUAUAAAAUGAUCUCACUUGUCCUUUCAAAACAGGUUUCUAAUCCAUUUCCUUGCAAAGAAACCAAUGAAAACAGAAUUUUCCCAUUAAAGCUGACAAUCUAUUACUCAUUUUUUUUCUGUAAUGUUUCCUGGUUUGUUUAUGGUGUGAUCAUAGUCAUUCAGGGAAUAACGGUGCAAUGUGUAAGGAAUUUUUAAAAUUAGUUGGAAAUCAUUACUUUUAAAAACUGUUAUUCAGGAUCACUUCUCAGCAUUAAUUUUUUAAGUAUACUGAUUUUUUCCAAGGGUUUUCCCCCCAAAUUGUGGCUUUUUAAGAAUGUGAUUUUUAAAGAUAGAGUGUUAUAUUUAUGAAUCACUAACCAGAGGUUGAAAUCUUCUGAAAGCCUUCCUCUGAUAACCUCUGUCAAGCAGUGCUGGCAAGUAGGGAAAAAAAAUCCAAACAAAAAAUGGAAACCCUGCAGAUUUUUAAAGCACAACUAAAUGUUUAACAGUUUGAAGUGUAAAUGAACCUAAUUUCUUCAGUAAUGUGGAAUUUUUAAGGAAAUAUAUAUUUAUGGUAAAUUCUCAUUUUUUAGAAAAUGGACGUGUGUCAUCAGCUAUCUUUCCGGUGGAAAAGUCCUGCUGUAUUGUGUGUGAUGUUAACUGGCCUCAGACCACAGAGAAUUAUUUAUCUCCUGUUUACUGCUGGGGGAGGAAGGCUACGUAAGCUUCUGCUUAUCAUGCCAGGGCCCCACAAGCCAUGAAUCAGUCUCCCUAUAGGAAAUAAUGACAUUUACUUUAGAGUUCAUAAUGUUUCUGAAAAUACUAAAUAUUAAUUUAUUUUUUAGCCUUCUGUUUUCUGAGACUUUAGCACUUUCAUUUUCCAUGCUUCAAUCUGCAACUCUGAGGAUAUGAAUAAUUUUUAAAGGGGAAGUGGAGUUUCUUCGUUGACCACAUAGAUGCAAGAGCUGGGCUUUUAUGAAAGAUAAUCCGAUAUUAUGAAACUAGUGAUGAACUCAUCAGAAGUGGUGUGGCUGAGAGGACAGCCUUAGAGCAUGAGAAGUACCAGGUGUUAAUGAACAGAAUGAAGGGAAGGCACCAAGCAAAUGUUUUCCUACAUGCACCCUUUUAAACAUGAUUGGCUUGUCUAUAUUGCUGGGCAGACAUUUAGCUUAUUUACCUAAGGUGAGUCUAUCUGAUGAUUUCUAUCCACUUACCACCUGUACCCUCCUCAAAUCUUUUAUUUCUAUGGUCUUCUAGAUAAAGAUUUGGUACUUCUGUGUCUCUGACUAAGGUUAUAUACAUGCAUAUGAGUAUAUGCAGUAACAAAGGUAUACACACUUUGAACUUAUAUGCAGGGGCCAGAGCUGUGGAUCAGAAAGGGAAACAGCUUUUCCUUUCUUUUGGAAGUGAUAUCCCAGCUGUUGUCAUUGCAAUUGUUGGAGCGGUGCCUCUGCGACUCAGUGGGUAAGCCCUGCCAAUCUAUUAGCUAAGUUGUUUAGCAUGGACUUUGAUUAACUUUUGUUCAAAUUUAACUUUCUCUUGGAAAACCUAGCUGUUUGUUUUCUGUUGUUGCUACAAUUGUGGCUAAUAUCUUGAGAUCUGCAUUAUAAAAAUGAAUAAAUAAAUGAUUGUAUUGAUAUGGAUUUUUGUUUGGCAUCAGCAAGCUAUAUUUAUGACUACCAACAGCUGAAGCAGCCAGAUGUGUGUGUACGUGCGUGGUUUUUCAACCACAUAGGCUUUUGCACAAUAAAUCCAUUAGUGCUGAUUGCUUCCCUUUCUCUAAAAGGCCCUGCUUUUUCACUUCAUUUUGCUAUCUCUAACUCUAAUUCAGCAAAUAGCUUUUAGUAAAAUCCUAAAGAGUAGGACAUUUGUGAAUUAUAUAAUUUAAUGCGUUAGUCACAAAAUAACAGAUGAACUUGUUGAGGGUGAGUCAUGACUUUAUUGCCUGCAUCUUCUAGAUGUAAAACGGAUCUUUGUGGCUUUUUUUUUUUUUUUUGCCUCCAACCUUCUUUAUUCUGUUCUGAAUGACAGAUACCUCAUCUGCUUUAUGGCUAGGAAGACAUACUGGAUGAAAAAAGGACCUGCUUUCUCUCUGGGUUUAGUCUGCAUUUUUAAUUGUAUUUGCUCAUUACUACCUGUGAAACCUCACCCUUCUGUUUUUUUCUGAGCAAGUUGUAAAUAUGGCUUCAAUAUACAUUAUGUUUAACGCAAGGACAGUCUUUCUAGCAUUUUUCACCAGGUCUCAGAGUGGCUCAUGCACACCUUGCAAAGCAGGGAGACCACCCAUGGAGUCGGAGGGUCCAGUUGCCACUGGUGGCAUGUCAGAGCAGAGCCAGGACUGGGAAGCAUGUGUGGGACGGUCUCUCGGUGGCAGAAUGUCCUCUUCUCUCAAAGGCAUAACUUCAGUUUCCAAAUUAUAAGUCGUUUUAUGGACAUUUAUCACCUUGGACUUGAAACGGAACCCGCAGCUUAAAAGUCAACCUUCUCUCACAACAAUUUGUAUGCUACUUUGGAGUGUGGCAACUGAAGGCAGCUAGAGGAAGAAGUGAUUUCCCCAUGACCCCGACUAUUUAUUUCGUACAUUUACCAAUGUGUUUGUACAUUUCUCAGCACCCAAAGCUGCACGUUGUGACUAAGCUGUUACAACACCUCCCUGCCAGCAGAAGGAGAGCUCUUCCUUCCUCUUCGCAUCCCUCCCACUGCCCAGUCCCCAGCUCUCCCUUCUGCCUGCCGCUACU
Harpia harpyja (harpy eagle) is the source of this 5509-nucleotide long non-coding RNA. RefSeq lists it as uncharacterized. The record is from RefSeq and is a predicted model, not a curated record. NCBI's taxonomy places the organism in Eukaryota, Metazoa, Chordata, Aves, Accipitriformes, Accipitridae. The transcript is spliced from 3 exons.